RNAcentral lists this unclassified non-coding RNA (353 nucleotides) under soil metagenome. RNAcentral describes it as "partial contains 5.8S ribosomal RNA, internal transcribed spacer 2, and large subunit ribosomal RNA". The stretch from base 1 to 120 matches the Rfam family "5.8S ribosomal RNA", at positions 35 to 154 of the family's 154-position model. The record is from RNAcentral.
GAUGAAGAACGUAGCGAAAUGCGAUAAGUAAUGUGAAUUGCAGAAUUCAGUGAAUCAUCGAAUCUUUGAACGCACAUUGCGCCCGCCAGUAUUCUGGCGGGCAUGCCUGUCCGAGCGUCAUUUCAACCCUCGAACCCCUCCAGGGGGUCGGCGUUGGGGAUCGGCCCUUUCACCGGGUGCCGGCCCCUAAAUACAGUGGCGGUCUCGCCGCAGCCUCUCAUGCGCAGUAGUUUGCACACUCGCACCGGGAGCGCGGCGCGUCCUCGUCCGUAAAACACCCCAAACUUCUGAAAUGUUGACCUCGGAUCAGGUAGGAAUACCCGCUGAACUUAAGCAUAUCAAUAAGCGGAGGA